Molecule: ribosomal RNA, 492 nt
Filed under: uncultured bacterium
Lineage: Bacteria
Description: partial 16S ribosomal RNA
Rfam family: Bacterial small subunit ribosomal RNA
Source: RNAcentral
AGUGAACGCUGGCGGUAGACCUAACACAUGCAAGUCGAACGGCAGCACAGUAAGAGCUUGCUCUUACGGGUGGCGAGUGGCGGACGGGUGAGGAAUACAUCGGAAUCUACUUUUUCGUGGGGGAUAACGUAGGGAAACUUACGCUAAUACCGCAUACGACCUACGGGUGAAAGCAGGGGAUCUUCGGACCUUGCGCGAUUGAAUGAGCCGAUGUCGGAUUAGCUAGUUGGCGGGGUAAAGGCCCACCAAGGCGACGAUCCGUAGCUGGUCUGAGAGGAUGAUAAGCCACACUGGAACUGGGACACGGUCCAGACUCCUACGGGAGGCAGCAGUGGGGAAUAUUGGACAACGGUCGCAAGCCUGAUCCAGCGAUCCCGCGUGGGUGAAGAAGGCGUUCGGGUUGUAAAGCCCUUUUGUUGGGAAAGAAAAGCAGCAGGUUAAUACCACGCUGUUCUGACGGUACCCAAAGAAUAAGCACCGGCUAACUUCGUG